This 692-nucleotide ribosomal RNA is filed under the name uncultured bacterium. RNAcentral describes it as "SSU rRNA". It matches the Rfam family "Bacterial small subunit ribosomal RNA", at positions 507 to 1204 of the family's 1533-position model. The record is from RNAcentral.
GCCAGCAGCCGCGGUAAUACGGAGGAUCCAAGCGUUAUCCGGAAUUAUUGGGUUUAAAGGGUCCGUAGGUGGACAAUUAAGUCAGAGGUGAAAUCCUGCAGCUCAACUGUAGAAUUGCCUUUGAAACUGGUUGUCUUGAGUCAUUAUGAAGUGGUUAGAAUGUGUAGUGUAGCGGUGAAAUGCAUAGAUAUUACACAGAAUACCAAUUGCGAAGGCAGAUCACUAAUAAUGUACUGACACUGAUGGACGAAAGCGUGGGUAGCGAACAGGAUUAGAUACCCUGGUAGUCCACGCCGUAAACGAUGGUCACUAGCUGUUCGGACUUCGGUCUGAGUGGCUAAGCGAAAGUGAUAAGUGACCCACCUGGGGAGUACGUUCGCAAGAAUGAAACUCAAAGGAAUUGACGGGGGCCCGCACAAGCGGUGGAGCAUGUGGUUUAAUUCGAUGAUACGCGAGGAACCUUACCAGGGCUUAAAUGUAGAGUGACAGGUCUAGAGAUAGAUUUUUCUUCGGACACUUUACAAGGUGCUGCAUGGUUGUCGUCAGCUCGUGCCGUGAGGUGUCAGGUUAAGUCCUAUAACGAGCGCAACCCCUGUUGUUAGUUGCCAGCGAGUAAUGUCGGGAACUCUAGCAAGACUGCCUGUGCAAACUGUGAGGAGGGUGGGGAUGACGUCAAAUCAUCACGGCCCUUA